CGUGCCUAAUACAUGCAAGUCGAGCGGAACUUAGAAAGCUUGCUUUCUAAGUUUUAGCGGCGGACGGGUGAGUAACACGUGGGCAACCUGCCUAUAAGACUGGGAUAACUUCGGGAAACCGGAGCUAAUACCGGAUAAUAUAAAAGAUCACAUGGUCUUUUAUUGAAAGAUGGCUUCGGCUAUCACUUAUAGAUGGGCCCGCGCCGCAUUAGCUAGUUGGUGAGGUAAUGGCUCACCAAGGCGACGAUGCGUAGCCGACCUGAGAGGGUGAUCGGCCACACUGGGACUGAGACACGGCCCAGACUCCUACGGGAGGCAGCAGUAGGGAAUCUUCCGCAAUGGACGAAAGUCUGACGGAGCAACGCCGCGUGAACGAUGAAGGCCUUCGGGUCGUAAAGUUCUGUUGUUAGGGAAGAACAAGUGCCGUUCGAAUAGGGCGGCACCUUGACGGUACCUCACGAGAAAGCCCCGGCUAACUACGUG
RNAcentral lists this ribosomal RNA (483 nucleotides) under uncultured bacterium. Its description in RNAcentral is "bacterial SSU rRNA". It matches the Rfam family "Bacterial small subunit ribosomal RNA", at positions 43 to 507 of the family's 1533-position model. The record is from RNAcentral.